UAAUACGAAGGGGGCUAGCGUUGUUCGGAAUUACUGGGCGUAAAGCGCGCGCAGGUGGUCUUUCAAGUCAGUGGUGAAAGCCCGGAGCUCAACUCCGGAAAUGCCAUUGAAACUGUGAGACUUGAGGACGAGAGAGGUGAGUGGAAUUCCCAGUGUAGAGGUGAAAUUCGUAGAUAUUGGGAAGAACACCGGUGGCG
Molecule: ribosomal RNA, 197 nt
Filed under: uncultured bacterium
Lineage: Bacteria
Description: partial 16S ribosomal RNA
Rfam family: Bacterial small subunit ribosomal RNA
Source: RNAcentral